UGGUCGGCAGAUCACCCAGGCGUCGCCGCGCGGCCUCUACCGCGAGCUAAACCUGCCU
Molecule: regulatory RNA element, 58 nt
Organism: Rubrivivax gelatinosus IL144
Lineage: Bacteria; Pseudomonadati; Pseudomonadota; Betaproteobacteria; Burkholderiales; Sphaerotilaceae
Rfam family: COG3860 RNA
Source: Rfam